UGAGGUAUAACUCAACGGUAGAGUACCAUGCUUUUAACAUGGGAGUUCUGGGUUCGAAUCCCAGUGCCUCAACCA
RNAcentral lists this transfer RNA (75 nucleotides) under Bacteroidia bacterium. Its description in RNAcentral is "tRNA-Lys". It matches the Rfam family "tRNA". Rfam says of the family: Transfer RNA (tRNA) molecules are approximately 80 nucleotides in length. Lineage: Bacteria; Pseudomonadati; Bacteroidota; Bacteroidia. The record is from RNAcentral.